Molecule: transfer RNA, 72 nt
Filed under: Hortaea werneckii EXF-2000
Lineage: Eukaryota; Fungi; Ascomycota; Dothideomycetes; Mycosphaerellales; Teratosphaeriaceae
Description: tRNA-Arg (ACG) (tRNA-Arg-ACG-1-1)
Rfam family: tRNA
About the family: Transfer RNA (tRNA) molecules are approximately 80 nucleotides in length.
Source: RNAcentral
GGCCUGCUGGCUCAAUGGCAGAGCGCCUGACUACGAAUCAGGAGGUUCCAGGUUCGAGCCCUGGGUAGGUCA